CUCAGAUGCAAGGUGAUAAGUAGCCACACAUCUCUGGUCCCACAAGUUCAAGUUACAACAAACUGUUUCUUCUUUCUCUCUUUUAACCCAAGUUUCAACCAAGAAGGACCCUGCUUCCUGGUAACACAGCACACCACAAGGUGAAACAGAAACUGGCAACUGCAAGAUGGUUUCUGGUGGCCCAGAGGGGUCUGGGAAAAAGCAAACUCUCCAGGUGAAGUUUCUGGAAUGCUCAGCUAACCAAACCAUUUGGAAAGCAAAAACUGGCAAUAGUACCUGAACUGACAGACAACAACAACCCAAGAAUCUGAGUACACAGAGGGUGACUCAAGAGCCACAAGGAUUUAGGAGUUGUUUUGCAGAAGAAAAAGAAUGCCUUCAAGGAAGUUAUGACCACCAGAUAACCAGUCCUUGGCUGCUGCUAAUGCCUAGAAGUCUGAUUGCCCAAGGGUUCAUCUGGAGUGAAAGAAACACACAUUUCCCCUUUGUUUCUCAGAAACUCCUCCUCCCAAGCCCCUUAACUCUAUAAAAUGCCCUGCUUUCUACUUUUGUUAAGACAGAUUUGAGAGAACCUAUCCUCCUGUCUUCUCGUUUUGGCCAAUUUGAAUAAACCUUUCGCCAUCUCCAAG
RNAcentral lists this long non-coding RNA (629 nucleotides) under Equus asinus (donkey). RNAcentral describes it as "lncRNA (ENSEASG00005038710.1)". The record is from RNAcentral. Lineage: Eukaryota; Metazoa; Chordata; Mammalia; Perissodactyla; Equidae.